Molecule: ribosomal RNA, 451 nt
Filed under: uncultured bacterium
Lineage: Bacteria
Description: bacterial SSU rRNA
Rfam family: Bacterial small subunit ribosomal RNA
Source: RNAcentral
GUAGGGAAUAUUGGACAAUGGGCGCAAGCCUGAUCCAGCCAUGCCGCGUGUGUGAAGAAGGCCUUUUGGUUGUAAAGCACUUUAAGCGAGGAGGAGGCUCCUUUAGUUAAUACCUAAAGAGAGUGGACGUUACUCGCAGAAUAAGCACCGGCUAACUCUGUGCCAGCAGCCGCGGUAAUACAGAGGGUGCGAGCGUUAAUCGGAUUUACUGGGCGUAAAGCGUGCGUAGGCGGCUUUUUAAGUCGGAUGUGAAAUCCCUGAGCUUAACUUAGGAAUUGCAUUCGAUACUGGAAAGCUAGAGUAUGGGAGAGGAUGGUAGAAUUCCAGGUGUAGCGGUGAAAUGCGUAGAGAUCUGGAGGAAUACCGAUGGCGAAGGCAGCCAUCUGGCCUAAUACUGACGCUGAGGUACGAAAGCAUGGGGAGCAAACAGGAUUAGAAACCCGUGUAGUCC